GCGGUCGUGGUGGAAUUGGCCUACACGCAACUUUUAGGUAGUUGUGGGAGAAAUCCCUUGAGGGUUCGAGUCCCUCCGGCCGCA
This 84-nucleotide transfer RNA is filed under the name Streptomyces racemochromogenes. Its description in RNAcentral is "tRNA-Leu". It matches the Rfam family "tRNA". From Rfam's summary of the family: Transfer RNA (tRNA) molecules are approximately 80 nucleotides in length. RNAcentral also lists the same sequence under 13 other names. Lineage: Bacteria; Bacillati; Actinomycetota; Actinomycetes; Kitasatosporales; Streptomycetaceae. The record is from RNAcentral.